RNAcentral lists this long non-coding RNA (232 nucleotides) under Setaria italica (foxtail millet). Its description in RNAcentral is "long non-coding RNA (SITA_LNC002831)". Lineage: Eukaryota; Viridiplantae; Streptophyta; Magnoliopsida; Poales; Poaceae. The record is from RNAcentral.
CUCCUUUUCUCCUGUCGUUGAUCUACUGCUCCGCUCCCUAUCGUUGAUCUGCUGCUCCGCUCCUGCCGGAGCUCCUUCACGCAUUCUCGAUGCUCGCAUUACACGCUGCUACGAGCCGUGCCGCCCGAGCUCCACAUGGCCGCCGACCGCCAUGAGCGGCGCAGCCCAAGCUCCCCACCCCACUGACCACCGCGGGCAACGCUGCUCGAGCUUCAGACCGCCGCCUAAUGCG